CCUACGGGAGGCAGCAGUGAGGAAUAUUGGUCAAUGGCCGGAAGGCUGAACCAGCCAUGCCGCGUGAAGGUCAGUGCCCUAUGGGCGUUAAACUUCUUUUGUGCGGGAGCAAUAAUGGUCACGUGUGGCCAGACGAGAGUACCGUACGAAUAAGCAUCGGCUAACUCCGUGCCAGCAGCCGCGGUAAUACGGGGGAUGCAAGCGUUAUCCGGAUUUAUUGGGUUUAAAGGGUGCGUAGGCUGGGAGGUAAGUCAGCGGGGAAAUGCCCCGGCUCAACGGGGUGAAGGGCCGUUGAUACGGCCUUGCUGGAAUGCGGAUGCCGUGGGAGGAAUGUGUGGUGUAGCGGUGAAAUGCAUAGAUAUCACACAGAACACCGAUUGCGAAGGCAUCUCACGAAUCCGCGAUUGACGCUGAUGCACGAAAGCGUGGGUAUCAAACAGGAUUAGAUACCCUGGUAGUC
This 460-nucleotide ribosomal RNA is filed under the name uncultured bacterium. RNAcentral's name for it is "partial 16S ribosomal RNA". It matches the Rfam family "Bacterial small subunit ribosomal RNA", at positions 338 to 795 of the family's 1533-position model. The record is from RNAcentral.